RNAcentral lists this ribosomal RNA (502 nucleotides) under uncultured bacterium. Its description in RNAcentral is "bacterial SSU rRNA". It matches the Rfam family "Bacterial small subunit ribosomal RNA", at positions 10 to 507 of the family's 1533-position model. The record is from RNAcentral.
AGUUUGAUCAUGGCUCAGAUUGAACGCUGGCGGCAUGCCUUACACAUGCAAGUCGAACGGCAGCACGGGAGCUUGCUCCGCUGACGAGUGGCGAACGGGUGAGUAAUGCAUCGGAACGUGCCCUGAAGUGGGGAUAACGUAGCGAAAGUUACGCUAAUACCGCAUAUUCUGUGAGCAGGAAAGCAGGGGAUCUUCGGACCUUGCGCUUUUGGAGCGGCCGAUGUCGGAUUAGCUAGUUGGUGGGGUAAAGGCCCACCAAGGCGACGAUCCGUAGCGGGUCUGAGAGGAUGAUCCGCCACACUGGAACUGAGACACGGUCCAGACUCCUACGGGAGGCAGCAGUGGGGAAUUUUGGACAAUGGGCGCAAGCCUGAUCCAGCCAUGCCGCGUGAGUGAAGAAGGCCUUCGGGUUGUAAAGCUCUUUCGGUGGGGAAGAAAUUGCUUGGGUUAAUACCCUGAGUAGAUGACGGUACCCGCAUAAGAAGCACCGGCUAACUACGUG